Molecule: ribosomal RNA, 1245 nt
Filed under: Triticum aestivum (bread wheat)
Lineage: Eukaryota; Viridiplantae; Streptophyta; Magnoliopsida; Poales; Poaceae
Description: partial small subunit ribosomal RNA
Source: RNAcentral
AUGGAAAGCACAAACGAGGGAGAUCACCAGGAUAAUGGCAGUCUGAAUACAUCGAGUGCCAUACCAAGUUGGGUACCACAGAUGGGCAUGAAAUUCGGCACUGUCGAUGAAGCAUGGACAUUCUGGGUUACUUAUGGGGGCAAAGUUGGAUUUGGUACUAGAAAGCGAUACCUCAACCCAAGUAAGUUUGAUCGGACAAUCACGUCGUGCAGAUUUGUUUGUCGCAAGGAAGGCCAUCGAGGAAAAGACAAAAGAGAUAAGCAUAUUAAGGAACCUCGAGCUGAGAUUCGAACCGGUUGUCUAGCUCGCAUGGGUCUCACAAUAAACAGAGAAGCGGGAAAUUAUGAAGUAACCGAUCUUGUUCUAGAGCACAACCACAUUAUGCAGUUGCAAGAAACAUGCCACUUUCUGCCAUCACAGCGAAAGAUAUCUGAAAUUCAAGCUUUUGAGAUUGAAAUUGCAGAUGAUUCAGGUAUUGGGCCAAAAGCUGCGUAUGAGUGUGCUAGUCGUCGAGUUGGUGGACCAUCUGUUCUUGGCUAUAUACGUAGGGAUCACAAAAAUCACCUACGUACUAAGCGCCAAAGGGAACUAAUGUAUGGUGAAGCUGGGAGUAUGUUAAAAUACUUUCAGGAUAAAGUCGCCCAAAACCCAUCGUUCCAAUAUGCCAUACAGCUGGACAAUGAAGAACAGAUCACAAAUAUAUUUUGGGCUGAUGCAAAAAUGUUAAUUGAUUAUGCUCAUUUUGGUGAUGUGGUUACUUUUGACACAACAUUUGGAACCAACAAGGAACUUAGGCCAUUUGGUGUAUUCGUUGGGUUCAAUCAAUUCAGACAAACUGUUAUAUUUGGUGCUUGCCUUUUAUAUAGUGAAACAUAUGAGGCUUUCAAAUGGCUAUUUGAAACUUUUCUCUUUGCACAUAAUCAGAAGCAUCCAAGAACUAUAUAUACAGAUCAAGAUGUUGCAAUGGGAAAUGCGGUUGAGGAUGUAUUUUUAAUGGCACGGCAUGGUUUAUGCACGUUUCACAUAAUGCAGAAUGCCAUCAAACAUUUAUCUUGUCAUAAGAAGGAGGAGGAGGAGGCGGAGGAGGAGGUUGAAGGGGAGGGGGAGGAGGAGGAGGAGGAGGAUGAACCACAUAUUCUUGCAGACUUCAGUGCUUGCAUGUAUGAGUACCGAGACAAGGAAACAUUUGAGGAAGCUUUUGACACCAUGCGAGGUAAAAUAGAAAAACAAACUUGGCUUGAUAGC